This 56-nucleotide transfer RNA is filed under the name Flabellotrichalus sp. A00125. RNAcentral's name for it is "partial tRNA-Leu". The record is from RNAcentral. Lineage: Eukaryota; Metazoa; Arthropoda; Insecta; Coleoptera; Lycidae.
UGUGACAGAAUAGUGUGAUAAAAUUAAGAUUUAUUUAAAAAGUUCAUCUUUCUUUA